CUCCGAUGCGCAGCCACCGCCCCUCGCCUUCCUCCAUCUCCAUCUCACCCACCGCCACCCCCUUCUCUCCCUCGGCUGUCGAGCUUCCGGAUGGACCCGGUGAGUAGGCCGGCGGCACUCCCCGAUCUGCUCGUCCUGCCGGCCGCGGCGAAGUGAGGAUCCAGGAUCCGCGCUCGGGGCGGCCUCGACGCAGGUGCUCGGUGUGCCCGGCCGCCCAAGACUCCGCCUUCCUCACGCUAGUGCGUCUGGAGAGGAGGAGGGGGCGGCACGCACAGCCGUGCCCUGCCGUCGGCGACGACGGCGCGGCCGUGCCCUCCGACGCCGCUCUUCUGCGCGCGUGAGGACACCAACUCCGCUCUCGACGACGACCGCACCAUGGAAUGGAGCCCUUCAAGGAAGACUUUGGGUUGCUUGUAACCCGCCAUGUCACAGAUAGGGUGCCUGUUAGAAAUCUUCUAUGGGGGUAACCAACAAGCGACAAAUAUUCAGUCUUGAGGGCGCAAGUACUGAAGCUAUGAUCCAGCUGUUGAGAAUAACUGAUAAUCAUGGUGUCUUAUGUGUAACUAUUU
This is a long non-coding RNA of Triticum aestivum (bread wheat), 569 nucleotides long. RefSeq lists it as uncharacterized. The transcript is spliced from 3 exons. Lineage: Eukaryota; Viridiplantae; Streptophyta; Magnoliopsida; Poales; Poaceae. The record is from RefSeq and is a predicted model, not a curated record.